Falco peregrinus (peregrine falcon) is the source of this 3247-nucleotide long non-coding RNA. RefSeq lists it as uncharacterized. The record is from RefSeq and is a predicted model, not a curated record. The transcript is spliced from 3 exons. NCBI's taxonomy places the organism in Eukaryota, Metazoa, Chordata, Aves, Falconiformes, Falconidae.
GGGCGUGGCGGUAGCGAGGCCCCGGGUUCGAUACCCGCGCCAGGCAAUCCCAGUGGCAGCCGUCGGGCAGCCCUUUCUCGCGGGAUUUCCCUACGAGGAAAGGAACAUCCUCCAUCCUCCCAUUCGUUGUUGGAAGUCCCUUAACCACGGGACAGGACGCCAGGUCAUGGAGACCUUACAAGUCCUCACAUCCCUACUGUCCUUCUGUUGGUACUGUCCUGCUCACCACAAGAAAGUCAAAAACUUCCACACUGUGUGGCUGGAUGACACCAUUUCACAGGCACAAGGUACGACCCUGAAAAAGCCUAAAUUGGUUUCAGAAUUCCCCUCUGCUGAUCAUCCUUCAGUGUUGUAAAACCUACACUCACGUCAAUAGAAACUGAUUUCAGGCACCUCCCAAGUUCUGCUUCAUGUCUCAAUGUCACUAAUUCCCCAUCAGGCACUCCUCUUUUGAUACCCCUGGCAAGCUGACAAGAAGUCCCAAAUGUGUCCUUCCACAGUGCUUUUGAGUGUUUCACUUGGCACAUUUCCACCUAUUCUUCCAUCAGUGGUUGUGCUCGGUGCUUUCACAUGAUACUUGCUGUAGCAUGGGUGGCACAAGGGAUUAUGAUUAGAAAUAACACCCAUCUCUGAGCUAUGUAAGCACAGGCAGAGGAACUGACAGCUGAGCAGAGAGCAAGUUCACAUGAGCACCUUUGCAAUGUCUGUUGAACUGGCACAGCCAUUAUCUGCAAAGGAUACUCGCCAGGCACCUUCAGCAGAAUCCCUUCUAAUAAUUACAAAACCAGACAGAAAACAUACCUUGUAAGGCAAGUUUGCAAGAAGGUUGUUUAUGAUCUCUGGUCUGGUACAUCAGAUUCACAAACAGUGAAAGCAUCAGACUAUAAGGGGACUAGAAGCUGGGUCGCAACCACUGUAUCUAGUGUAUCCUCACAUGGAAAAGGAGAAUGAAGAAGCACCAGCCUGAAGACAGACCUGAUAAACACAGCUAGCCAAAAAGCCCCCGUCUCAUACACAUACCUAUUGUAAAAUCCAAGUUGACAGCAGGCUCUUGAUAGUUGCAGACCACACAAAGCAAGUAAGUGCUUUAUCUUUUGAAACAUCAAGUCUGUUUUCUGCAGGAAGAGAGAGCUUUUUCUUGUACCAUAGAUCCCAGUACCAUAAUUCCCAUCACUGAUCUGGAAAAUAUAAUCAACAGCAGUAAAAUGUCCUUCCCUCCCCCCUGCCGCCUCCCUCCUUGAUGCUUUAAUGACAUUCCCAUCUGCUUUUCCACAAUCAAAUUGAGCUUGGACAGGUAUUUUCUGCAACCUCACUUGUUUAAAAGGCUUACAGCAGUGCUGGGUUACCAGUGGGCUUGCCAUGCGGUUCGGUAUCUCUGGAGGUUUUUACACCGCACAAUAUUACCCUAAGGUGUAGUCCCUCUGAGUACAGACAGAUCUUCAAUGAAGCAACAAGCAACUGAGCUGAAUGCCGACUGCUGCUAACAUGGUGGUGCUCCUCAGUGACAGAGGGGUGGAAGGGCACUGAUCAAGGCAAGAGUGGGUGGCCCUGAGCCUUUGAAGGGGUACUGCACUGACACUGGCAGUAACCCCGCUCUUCCACAUUUAGGCCCGAAGAUGCAUGAUGAAACCACACGCAAACCCAUAGUGGAACGACUGGGACAAAAGCUGAGGAUGGCUUUGCUUGAUGGGUAUUGUCAAGCUCUCAAACAGGGCUGUGGGAAAGAAGAGCUGAGGUUUUGUUGUGAGCAGAAUGGUUCACAGGCCUGUUAUCUCCAUUAAUGGUCCAUUUGUAACAGGCUUAAACUCCUCACGCAUGCUGAGACUGCCGAGAAAUUAGACAGCAUUGUGUGUUGCAGCACAAACCUGUGUUUUUUAAGCUUGAACCAUCCAAAGCAAACUCAAAAAACAGCUCAGGGCCAGAGGUACCACGUUUGUCCACAGUUACACAGCACAGAUGCCACCCAAUUAAAAGAGGGGUAACCCCAAGCCGUGUGGACAUAAAUCAUCCAUUGCCCCUCAGCCUCAGGGCAGAGAACAGGUUCCUGCUUGUCUUUCAUUUUGCAGUAUAGCUGUAGGCUUGAAAUCUUUACUCCCGUGGCCAUGGCAGUCUCUCACAAGCAUGUUUCAUUCCCAUAUAAAAUUGCCUAAAUCAUCACUAAAUAUUGCAAAUACUACCUCCUCUCUGCUCUGUAAAACAGGAAAACUAGUGACAAAACCUACUAAUGGCUGAGCAAAUACCAACAGACAAUCCUGCAUGAUCUGCCAUGCACAGCUCCCCACAAAUUCAGUAAGUAAAGAUAAGGAGAACUGCAGGGCCAGCUUUCAAUCUACCUGUGACAGAUGCACUCUUGACCAAACUUGCAGUAGUUUGGUUCAGUCUCGAAAAGAAGCAAUGGCCUUGGCCAUAACUGGAUCCAAACUUUCUCUAGUUCCAACCUGUUCUUUGAAAACCCGUACAGGAACAGGGUGACAUGGUGAACAUCAAUGCAUAUGGGCUUGGAAACUGGAACAUUGACCAUGUGAUUAACACAUGAAUAGCAGGUGAUUCUUCCAAGACUCAUUUAUCAAGGAACAAAGAAAGCUGUGAGUACAAGGAGUCUCAUAUUUACCUUUUCCACCUCAUGCAAUUUGACUACAAGCCAAGCACUUUAUUCCACAAACAUGACAGCCUGAGGGAGCCACCUUUAAGCUGUUCCUGUUAAGCAGCUGACUGCACAGCAAUGAUCUUCCCUUGAGCACAGACACCUCUCAAGGUUACUCCUCAAGGCUGAGGCACCCCUUACCAACUGCAGAUCAUUGGCAAAACCUCACACCCAGAUCAGAUUAAAUUAUCCCGUGUCACUACAUGAGAAGACUGUGUCCAACUCCUGCGAUUUCCUUCUGUCCCUGCUAUUUCAAUUCUCUGAGAAGACAUCACAAAAAUACCACUAUGAUCCCCUAACCCUGCAGUUAGCUACAACACGGCGUGGGGCGGGAGAAUGUUUUCUUAAAGCUCUCAAGACUGGAGUGUAAGUGAAGGGUGGAGAAGGGAAGGCUGUGCGAGUAGUUAGUGCUGGUCUCAGGGAACAUGUUGAAGGACCGAUAAUGGAAAAGGGAUGGGGCAUAGCUUCCAGCACGCCAGAUUAGCUCACAGUGUGAAACAAUCUCAUGAAGAAAGAUCAUCAGAACUAUUUAAAUGUAUAAGAUGAAAGGUCAAAAUUAACAUACGUAUUCAGCACAGUGAAAAAUGAAUCUAUUAAGGCCAC